Unclassified non-coding RNA from Pongo abelii (Sumatran orangutan), 117 nucleotides. It matches the Rfam family "Metazoan signal recognition particle RNA". Rfam says of the family: The signal recognition particle (SRP) is a universally conserved ribonucleoprotein. It is involved in the co-translational targeting of proteins to membranes. NCBI's taxonomy places the organism in Eukaryota, Metazoa, Chordata, Mammalia, Primates, Hominidae. The record is from Ensembl.
GCCGGGCGUGGUGGCUCAUGCCUGUAAUCCCAGCACUUUGGGAGGCCGAGAUGGGUGGAUCACCUGAGGUCAGGAGUUCGAGACCAGCCUGGCCAACAUGGUGAAACUCCAUCUCUU